UACGUAGGGAGCAAGCGUUGUCCGGAAUCAUUGGGCGUAAAGCGCGCGUAGGUGGCUUCGUAAGUCCGUUGUGAAAGUCAAAGGCUCAACCUUUGAAAGCCGAUGGAUACUGUGAAGCUAGAGUACGGAAGAGGCGAGUGGAAUUCCUGGUGUAGCGGUGGAAUGCGCAGAUAUCAGGAGGAAUACCAAUAGCGAAGGCAGCUCGCUGGGACGUUACUGACACUGAGGCGCGAAAGCGUGGGGAGCGAACAGG
Molecule: ribosomal RNA, 253 nt
Filed under: uncultured bacterium
Lineage: Bacteria
Description: partial 16S ribosomal RNA
Rfam family: Bacterial small subunit ribosomal RNA
Source: RNAcentral